CCGUGCUAGACGGGGAGGUAGCGGUGCCCUGUAACCCGCAAUCCGCUAUAGCGGGGUCGAAUACCUGUUUGCGGCAGUUGAUUGUCGAGGUCUGGUUUAAGCACGUAGUGUUGACGAUCGGGUUCUGCGCAACGGAAACUCACGAACCCCGUCAGGUCCGGAAGGAAGCAGCGGUAAGUGAACUUUUCCGUGUGCCGCAGGGGCGCCUGGUCUGAGCUAACGACUUAAAUGCGCUUGGUAGUCAACUGUCAAGGACAGGUGCACGG
Molecule: signal recognition particle RNA, 266 nt
Filed under: Novibacillus thermophilus
Lineage: Bacteria; Bacillati; Bacillota; Bacilli; Caryophanales; Thermoactinomycetaceae
Description: Bacterial large signal recognition particle RNA
Rfam family: Bacterial large signal recognition particle RNA
About the family: The signal recognition particle (SRP) is a universally conserved ribonucleoprotein involved in the co-translational targeting of proteins to membranes. Archaeal SRP consists of a 7S RNA and homologues of the eukaryotic SRP19 and SRP54 proteins. In most bacteria, the SRP consists of a 4.5S RNA and the Ffh protein (a homologue of the eukaryotic SRP54 protein).
Source: Rfam by way of RNAcentral